AUGUGGUUUAAUUCGAUGCAACGCGAAGAACCUUACCUACUCUUGACAUCCAGAGAACUUAGCAGAGAUGCUUUGGUGCCUUCGGGAACUCUGAGACAGGUGCUGCAUGGCUGUCGUCAGCUCGUGUUGUGAAAUGUUGGGUUAAGUCCCGCAACGAGCGCAACCCUUAUCCUUUGUUGCCAGCGAUUCGGUCGGGAACUCAAAGGAGACUGCCAGUGAUAAACUGGAGGAAGGUGGGGAUGACGUCAAGUCAUCAUGGCCCUUACGAGUAGGGCUACACACGUGCUACAAUGGCAUAUACAAAGAGAAGCGACCUCGCGAGAGCAAGCGGACCUCAUAAAGUAUGUCGUAGUCCGGAUUGGAGUCUGCAACUCGACUCCAUGAAGUCGGAAUCGCUAGUAAUCGUGGAUCAGAAUGCCACGGUGAAUACGUUCCCGGGCCUUGUACA
Molecule: ribosomal RNA, 448 nt
Filed under: Klebsiella pneumoniae
Lineage: Bacteria; Pseudomonadati; Pseudomonadota; Gammaproteobacteria; Enterobacterales; Enterobacteriaceae
Description: bacterial SSU rRNA
Rfam family: Bacterial small subunit ribosomal RNA
Source: RNAcentral